UACGUAGGGGGCUAGCGUUGUCCGGAUUUAUUGGGCGUAAAGAGCGUGUAGGCGGCUUGGCAAGUCUGCUGUGAAAACUCGAGGCUCAACCUCGAGCUGUCGGUGGAAACUGCUUGGCUAGAGUCCGGAAGAGGAGAGUGGAAUUCCUGGUGUAGCGGUGAAAUGCGCAGAUAUCGAGAGGAACACCGGUGGCGAAGGCGGCCAACUGGACAGAUACUGACGCUGAGACUCGAAAGCGUGGGGAGCAAACAGG
RNAcentral lists this ribosomal RNA (253 nucleotides) under uncultured bacterium. RNAcentral's name for it is "partial 16S ribosomal RNA". It matches the Rfam family "Bacterial small subunit ribosomal RNA", at positions 524 to 776 of the family's 1533-position model. The record is from RNAcentral.